This 616-nucleotide ribosomal RNA is filed under the name uncultured bacterium. RNAcentral describes it as "bacterial SSU rRNA". It matches the Rfam family "Bacterial small subunit ribosomal RNA", at positions 607 to 1243 of the family's 1533-position model. The record is from RNAcentral.
GUUUCCCAGAGGUGCUUUCAGACUGGGGACACUUGAGCAGAAAAGAAAAGUGGAAAUCUCUGUGGUCGGUGGAAUGCGCGUAUAUAUAUGAAGAAAACACCAUGGGCGAGCGCGCUUUCUGGUCUGGUCUGACGCUGAAUUCUCAAGCAUGGGUAGCAAACACAGAUUAAAUACCCCCUGUAACCAUGGCCGUACGAUGAAGCUAAGUGUGUGGAAGGUUUCCCCCCCUUCUGGCUGCCUAACGCAUUUAGCACCCCGCCUGGGGAGUACCAACCGCAGGGUGAAACUCUCAAGGAAAUUGACGGGACCCCGCACAACGGUGGAACAUGUGUGGUUAAUUUCAAACCUACGCAAAAAACCUUACCAUCCUGGAUCCUUUGACCACUCUUAGAUAGAGAUUUUCCCUUCGGGGACAAAUGACAGGGGUGCAUGGUUGUCGUCAGCUCGUGUCGUGAGAUGUUGGGUUAAGUCCCGCAACGAGCGCAACCCUUAUAUUAGCUGCCAUCAUUCAGUUGGGCACUCUGUGUGACUGCCGGUGACAAACCGGAGAAGGUGGGAUGACGUCAAUCAUCAUGCCCUUAUGACUGGCUACACACGUGCUACAUGACGAUACACG